Molecule: ribosomal RNA, 484 nt
Filed under: uncultured bacterium
Lineage: Bacteria
Description: partial 16S ribosomal RNA
Rfam family: Bacterial small subunit ribosomal RNA
Source: RNAcentral
AUUGAACGCUGGCGGCAUGCCUUACACAUGCAAGUCGAACGGUAGCAGGGAUUCUGCUGCUGGCGUGUGGGGCGCGGGGGAGUGAAAUGCCUAGAAAUGUGCGUGGGUGGGGGAGAUAACGGCGGGAGACGGGCUAAAAUAGCGCACGCGCUAUGGAGGAGAGAGGGGGGGAUCUUGAGAUCGCACGCUCGCAGCUGAGGCUAGGUCGGAUUAGCUAGUUGGUGGGAUAAAGGCAUACCAAGGCGACGAUCUGUAGCUGGUCUGAGAGGAUGAUCAGCCACACUGGAACUGAGACACGGCCCAGACUCCUACGGGAGGCAGCAGUGGGGAAUAUUGGACAAUGGGCGAAAGCCUGAUCCAGCCAUGCCGCGUGUAUGAAGAAGGUCUUCGGAUUGUAAAGCACUUUUGGUCGGGAGGAAGAGCAGUAAGUUAAUACCGAGCUGUUUUGACGGUACCAAAAGAAUAAGCACCGGCUAACUUCGUG